Thunnus maccoyii (southern bluefin tuna) is the source of this 2304-nucleotide RNA transcript. It is a transcript of the gene named apoptosis facilitator Bcl-2-like protein 14, with no coding region annotated. The record is from RefSeq and is a predicted model, not a curated record. The transcript has 9 exons. NCBI's taxonomy places the organism in Eukaryota, Metazoa, Chordata, Actinopteri, Scombriformes, Scombridae.
AGUAACGUUAGAAUGAAAACAAUAAAGUGACAUUAGUAGUUCCUGUAAAUCUCAUGAUGUCACUCAGAAACCUGUCUAUAUGUUGGUGUUAGCGCAGUUUAAACAACAGGUAGGGCUUAAUGACAGAAAUACAGUCCAUAUCAGUCCCUCCAGGAGAUCGCAAUUUUGUGAUUGCAAUAAUUAACACAAAUUCAAGAAAUCUCCACAAUAUUUGUGAGAGCUUGCAAUUUUGUUAAAUUACCGCAACUUUUCCGCAUGUAAUGACCAAAUCAACAGACCGCUUGUGAUUUGGACCAAUUGUUGCAUUUCGUGUUGUGGUUGCUUGCAUCAUCACAGCACCAUUCAGCAAGGAUUCAGGAGUGCAUUUAGAUGGAAGAUGGCCAAAUCUCACCUGCCAACAAAAAUUAUGCUAUAAACAAUUCCCAAAAGUUUCCAAAUGAGGUUUGCAUUCAGUUAGUCAGAAUAAUACAAGUUGAUGUUCAGACAGCAAAGAUGGACAUAAUCUACCUCUAACAGAAAAUGGACACUUUGGAAAUGAAACCAUAUGUUUAUCUGUUGAAAAUGGCGUGGAGGUUGGCUGCGGGGGGCAUGGAGAAGAGUGACGUGAUGCUGCUGCUCGAGGAGUACUGCUCCAGGAGGUCACAGCAGAGGUCACAGCAGAGGUCACAGCGGAGGUUAAGGGCGGGGUUAGUCCUAUCCAGCGGCGCUUAUCACACGCACAUAGAAACAGAUCAUGAAAGCGGAGAGACGGAAUUCAGGUCAGGACGGACAGAGCCAACUUUCCAGCCUCAGAGACUAGUGCUGCAAAGUGAUGAAUUUCCGGACACAACGCGGACGACAGUGGCGGACCGGCUGGUGCAGAUCGCUGACUCAGCACCGAUCCCUGAGGUGGAUGUGGAAGACCAUGAUGAAAUCAUUCAGAAAAUGGUGGAGCUGAUGAAAACAUUCGGAGAUGACAUCAAUAAGAAGAUCAAGCAGAACAUGGCCCUCCAGCAGCAGCUCCGCACGAUGAACUACGACAUGUUUGAGAGGCUGACCUCCAGCAUGCAGAACCUGGUGGGACAGGAGGGCCAGGGUGCGGCGGCGGCGGUGGAGGCGGCGGCGGUGGAGGCGGAGGCGGAGGCGGCGUCUGACAGGAGGAUCCAGCAGCAGAAGAUCGCCUGGGCCUUCGAGGUGACCAGCAGACUGUCGGCCAUGGACUUAGUCCCCAAGAGGAGAGUGCUGAGCUUUGCAGACCGAUACAUCCAGCAGCACCACAACGCAUGGCUGCAGCAGCACGGAGGCUGGGAGGAAGUGUUUGAUGUUGAAAACGUCGACUGAGCUGCAAAGAUCUGCGACUCCUGAGAGAAAAACCUUCGUUUACUCCAGAGACGGAGGUCAUGACGAUGCUGUGAACGUCUGAAACAUUUCAGUUUUUUACUUUUGAAUCAGAUCUGAUUUUUUUUUUUUUUACAGUUAAUUUGCAUAUUCAUGUACAUGUAUACAUUUCUCCUUUCCAGUUCUGCUGACUGGUGGGAAGUUUCAGCUUCAGCGGCAGAAUACGAUGCAGGAGAAGUGAGAUAAACACGGGUGCUAAUGAAGGCUAUUGGCUCGUAGCCUGUGACUUCCCGCUGAGGUGAGGGAAGGUAACUCUGUGUCACACGUUAGACGCCGAAGACCAAACAGAGUCAAAUGUCAGAGUUCAGGUCUGUAGCAGUGAUUCAGAGGGACGACGAAGCCUCUUGAAUAAGCAAAGAAACAUCUUUUAAUCAGAAAAUAUCUGACUCCUCGCUGUGGCUGCUUGAAGAAAGACAAUCCUCCGCUCUCUUCCUCCCACACAUCUGAGCAGGUACGCUGACAUAAACGAGCUCAGAGUAACACGUCGACUGCACCAGUUUACACCAGCAUUGAUUUUUUCUUUACAAAGAAAAAUACACAAUGAGAAAACUUUGAAAUGUGAUGGUUUUAUCACAUAAACUGACUGACAGCUCCUUUAAUAGACUGAUACCAUAAAAAUAUCAAUAACCCACCACUGAGCAGCUACAACAGCAUUAAAAACUAAAAUAACUGGAUAAAGUCUGACAGAGAAAUAAAGAGAAGAUAAAAGAUUUGAUAACAGAUUCGUUAUUGUCACAGUGAAUCUGUUUAUUUUAAAUCAUUGUAAAUCAAAGAUAUUCCAGUUGAGCCCCAGAAUAUAAAUAUAGAGCUGGAAAUAUGCAGAAUAUUUCUCCCUUUAAUGGUUCACAUUAAGAGGACUCGUUUUCUGUCCCCAAAAGGAGGCGAAUCCCUGCACACACACACACACACACACACACACACACACAC